CAGCAAGACCCUCCGAUGCUCAAGUCAGUACUCUGCUUCAACAGAAAUGGAGUGCUCGAGCGAAAAUUUAGGCAGAGUUUCAAGAUAGAGUUUUGAACUUAGAGAAGAACAUAUCUGGGGAUCCUUAUUUAUAGAUGGAGGGCGCAACUGAUCGACAGCGAUGUCUGUAACCGUCUGGUAGUGGACCGUUCAGGACCGCGUGGAGUUUGUUACGGAGAGUAGUGGUGUCAGGGGUCGUUCAGGGCCACGUGGAGCUUGUUGCGGGGG
This 267-nucleotide long non-coding RNA is filed under the name Elaeis guineensis (African oil palm). Its description in RNAcentral is "long non-coding RNA (EGUI_LNC037386)". Lineage: Eukaryota; Viridiplantae; Streptophyta; Magnoliopsida; Arecales; Arecaceae. The record is from RNAcentral.